UAGGAAAUGGGUGAAACUUAGCAAG
Molecule: non-coding RNA, 25 nt
Filed under: Mus musculus (house mouse)
Lineage: Eukaryota; Metazoa; Chordata; Mammalia; Rodentia; Muridae
Source: RNAcentral